RNAcentral lists this ribosomal RNA (244 nucleotides) under uncultured Lactobacillus sp. RNAcentral's name for it is "partial 16S ribosomal RNA". It matches the Rfam family "Bacterial small subunit ribosomal RNA", at positions 116 to 353 of the family's 1533-position model. The record is from RNAcentral. Lineage: Bacteria; Bacillati; Bacillota; Bacilli; Lactobacillales; Lactobacillaceae.
CGUGGGUAACCUGCCCAAGAGAUCGGGAUAACACCUGGAAACAGAUGCUAAUACCGGAUAACAAUAGAUGAUGCCUAUCAACUGUUUAAAAGAUGGUUCUGCUAUCACUCUUGGAUGGACCUGCGGUGCAUUAGCUAGUUGGUAGGGUAACGGCCUACCAAGGCGAUGAUGCAUAGCCGAGUUGAGAGACUGAUCGGCCACAUUGGGACUGAGACACGGCCCAAACUCCUACGGGAGGCAGCGC